GCGGAAACUCGGUGAGAAGGAGCUUGAAUAUUUGUCAAGUAAAUCUACGGUUACAUGAAACAAUGAGAAAUCUCUAUUAUGCCUUCCAUUUAAUGCUUCUCUCCCACCUCUUCUCUUUCUUCUAACGUUAGGGUAUAACCAAAUAGCCAAUGAUUUCCAAACAACCCUUAACCGACCAGAACAACUCCGACGAAGAUCUUUAUAGCCGCCUAAAGUGUCUUCAACGUUAGCUUGAUCAUCGACAUACAAGAAGAGUAUGUCCAAGAGGAGCAAAAGAAUUCUAAGCGCGAGCUCCUCCACACGCAGGAAGAGCGAAGAAAGAGACAGCGAAGAAAGAGAUAGAAACCAACAACCUCAUACUUUUCCCUCGUACUUUUCUCACUCACUCACUCACUCUCUCUCUCUCUCUCUCUCUCUCUAUCUCUAGUGUCCACAGAGCUUGCAUCACCAGUUUUGUGAUUCUGCUGUGCUGCGGUUUAGGUGGCCAUGUAAACUAGUGAUCUCAAGCUAUUUCCAGCUAAAGAUCACCACCUCCGUCGAUUGAGCACACCAAUAGGAUCGGCACAAUGCAAGAAACAGUAAUAUGGCCUCCAUUAUCGCAAAUUAAGAUCGCCAUCUCAAAUGGUCAUAGAGACAGUUGCAUUCCUGCGAGAUUUGCUCCACCUCCGGCGAGAGCGAGGAUCAAGACAUGUAGUUAAAUGAUUCAAUCCUUCUUUUUAUCAUAUUUUCCUUCCAUCAAUUCUGAGUUUUAAGGAUAAAUUGCACAUGCUUGAAAUUUAAAAUUUUUGGGUUUGAGAUUUGAGAAUUUUGUGUAUAGCUUGAAUUGGUACUCAAAUGAUAAAAUUGAUGGUGAAAUAAAACCCUCAUGAGAUUCUGAA
Molecule: long non-coding RNA, 878 nt
Organism: Jatropha curcas
Lineage: Eukaryota; Viridiplantae; Streptophyta; Magnoliopsida; Malpighiales; Euphorbiaceae
Source: RefSeq, a predicted model, not a curated record